CUUGUUCUCACGUAUGAGCUCAUAUACGAGACUGUGUGACACGUGACUCUUUCCUAUCCUCUUUUUCUCUUUGAGUCGGAUGUAACCGGUUCACUCCUCACCUUUAAAUCUGAUUAUUUAGAGCAGGAAGAGUCAUAUGUGAGAUUAUGGCUGAACUACAUUUUCACAUAAGUGGUUUUGCAGCCGGGCUGACAGCUCUCUGCUGUUUGCUCUUUGAUCGAAGCAGAAGCCGGCGUUAGCAAACACUCUGUUUGUGUGUAAUGAAGGAAUUUGCAGCAGACGGCUCCUCGCCUUUAACCUGUGGACCAGUAGUCAUCGAUCAUGUUGAUCAGCAGUAGCGGAGGCCCUCUUUAGAGCAGUUGAUCUCACAAAACGUUUACCGGGUAAAGCUGCUCCAGUGUUUGAGGCUUCUGGACUGCCGGAGUUUCCUGCCGCUGCAGCUGGUUCGUCCUCCCCCUGCUCUCUGAAAACAUGAGGAGGAAAACGUUUUCGGAGCUGAGCCUGUGAGGAAAAUCAACCCACUAUCUUCAGUUUUUUUUUUUUUAAAGCUGGGUCAAACCUUCCAGCUGGGCCCUCGAUGAGUCAGUGGUUGAGACAUUUGCUUGGCCUCCAUCUUCUUCAGAGUGCUGUUUUUAUGAGUGUUCAUGGGGAAAAUACAUGAAGAAGAGUUAUCUUCUGCUUGUUUUGGGUGGAUAGCGACCAAAACGAGAGCAGAAAUUUUGAGUUUAGCCAUUUUUUCCCCCAUCUCCCUCUUUCUUUCUAGAUGCUUGAAAGCUUCUUCCCUAAUAUAGUAACAAUGAAAACCCGUCCACUUUCACCGCUUUGUCUUUAAAACAACUACUAAUUGGUCAGAUUUUCAAAGAGGCCUCUCUUUCUCGUCGGUCGCUUCUCUCUUUCUUUUUGCUUCAGCCUUUGCGCCUCACUACUUUGUAUACAUACUCAUUAAUCAUUUAAAUUUACUGUCAGUACUCCAUACACAAACUAUUACACCCAACCGCUUCCCACUCAGCCCCCCACCACGACCACCCACACACACCUUAACAGUGGGUUCAAAUUGAGGUCAGCGAGAAAGGAACAUUGCGUUACCUGAG
Molecule: long non-coding RNA, 1091 nt
Organism: Gasterosteus aculeatus aculeatus (three-spined stickleback)
Lineage: Eukaryota; Metazoa; Chordata; Actinopteri; Perciformes; Gasterosteidae
Source: Ensembl